AAGGUUAAGCCUCACGGUUCAUUAGUACCGGUUAGCUCAACGCAUCGCUGCGCUUACACACCCGGCCUAUCAACGUCGUCGUCUUCAACGUUCCUUCAGGACUCUCAAGGAGUCAGGGAGAACUCAUCUCGGGGCAAGUUUCGUGCUUAGAUGCUUUCAGCACUUAUCUCUUCCGCAUUUAGCUACCGGGCAGUGCCAUUGGCAUGACAACCCGAACACCAGUGAUGCGUCCACUCCGGUCCUCUCGUACUAGGAGCAGCCCCCCUCAGUUCUCCAGCGCCCACGGCAGAUAGGGACCGAACUGUCUCACGACGUUCUAAACCCAGCUCGCGUACCACUUUAAAUGGCGAACAGCCAUACCCUUGGGACCUACUUCAGCCCCAGGAUGUGAUGAGCCGACAUCGAGGUGCCAAACACCGCCGUCGAUAUGAACUCUUGGGCGGUAUCAGCCUGUUAUCCCCGGAGUACCUUUUAUCCGUUGAGCGAUGGCCCUUCCAUUCAGAACCACCGGAUCACUAUGACCUGCUUUCGCACCUGCUCGCGCCGUCACGCUCGCAGUCAAGCUGGCUUAUGCCAUUGCACUAACCUCCUGAUGUCCGACCAGGAUUAGCCAACCUUCGUGCUCCUCCGUUACUCUUUAGGAGGAGACCGCCCCAGUCAAACUACCCACCAGACACUGUCCGCAACCCGGAUUACGGGUCAACGUUAGAACAUCAAACAUUAAAGGGUGGUAUUUCAAGGUCGGCUCCAUGCAGACUGGCGUCCACACUUCAAAGCCUCCCACCUAUCCUACACAUCAAGGCUCAAUGUUCAGUGUCAAGCUAUAGUAAAGGUUCACGGGGUCUUUCCGUCUUGCCGCGGGUACACUGCAUCUUCACAGCGAGUUCAAUUUCACUGAGUCUCGGGUGGAGACAGCCUGGCCAUCAUUACGCCAUUCGUGCAGGUCGGAACUUACCCGACAAGGAAUUUCGCUACCUUAGGACCGUUAUAGUUACGGCCGCCGUUUACCGGGGCUUCGAUCAAGAGCUUCGCUUGCGCUGACCCCAUCAAUUAACCUUCCGGCACCGGGCAGGCGUCACACCGUAUACGUCCACUUUCGUGUUUGCACAGUGCUGUGUUUUUAAUAAACAGUUGCAGCCAGCUGGUAUCUUCGACUGAUUUCAGCUCCAUCCGCGAGGGACUUCACCUACAUAUCAGCGUGCCUUCUCCCGAAGUUACGGCACCAUUUUGCCUAGUUCCUUCACCCGAGUUCUCUCAAGCGCCUUGGUAUUCUCUACCUGACCACCUGUGUCGGUUUGGGGUACGAUUUGAUGUUACCUGAUGCUUAGAGGCUUUUCCUGGAAGCAGGGCAUUUGUUGCUUCAGCACCGUAGUGCCUCGUCAUCACGCCUCAGCCUUAGUUUUCCGGAUUUGCCUGGAAAACCAGCCUACACGCUUAAACCGGGACAACCGUCGCCCGGCCAACAUAGCCUUCUCCGUCCCCCCUUCGCAGUAACACCAAGUACAGGAAUAUUAACCUGUUUCCCAUCGACUACGCCUUUCGGCCUCGCCUUAGGGGUCGACUCACCCUGCCCCGAUUAACGUUGGACAGGAACCCUUGGUCUUCCGGCGAGCGGGCUUUUCACCCGCUUUAUCGUUACUUAUGUCAGCAUUCGCACUUCUGAUACCUCCAGCAUGCCUCACAGCACACCUUCACAGGCUUACAGAACGCUCCCCUACCCAACAACGCAUCAGCGUCGCUGCCGCAGCUUCGGUGCAUGGUUUAGCCCCGUUACAUCUUCCGCGCAGGCCGACUCGACCAGUGAGCUAUUACGCUUUCUUUAAAUGAUGGCUGCUUCUAAGCCAACAUCCUGGCUGUCUGGGCCUUCCCACAUCGUUUCCCACUUAACCAUGACUUUGGGACCUUAGCUGGCGGUCUGGGUUGUUUCCCUCUUCACGACGGACGUUAGCACCCGCCGUGUGUCUCCCGUGAUAACAUUCUCCGGUAUUCGCAGUUUGCAUCGGGUUGGUAAGUCGGGAUGACCCCCUUGCCGAAACAGUGCUCUACCCCCGGAGAUGAAUUCACGAGGCGCUACCUAAAUAGCUUUCGGGGAGAACCAGCUAUCUCCCGGUUUGAUUGGCCUUUCACCCCCAGCCACAAGUCAUCCGCUAAUUUUUCAACAUUAGUCGGUUCGGUCCUCCAGUUAGUGUUACCCAACCUUCAACCUGCCCAUGGCUAGAUCACCGGGUUUCGGGUCUAUACCCUGCAACUUAACGCCCAGUUAAGACUCGGUUUCCCUUCGGCUCCCCUAUUCGGUUAACCUUGCUACAGAAUAUAAGUCGCUGACCCAUUAUACAAAAGGUACGCAGUCACACGCCUAAGCGUGCUCCCACUGCUUGUACGUACACGGUUUCAGGUUCUUUUUCACUCCCCUCGCCGGGGUUCUUUUCGCCUUUCCCUCACGGUACUGGUUCACUAUCGGUCAGUCAGGAGUAUUUAGCCUUGGAGGAUGGUCCCCCCAUAUUCAGACAGGAUACCACGUGUCCCGCCCUACUCAUCGAGCUCACAGCAUGUGCAUUUUUGUGUACGGGGCUGUCACCCUGUAUCGCGCGCCUUUCCAGACGCUUCCACUAACACACACACUGAUUCAGGCUCUGGGCUCCUCCCCGUUCGCUCGCCGCUACUGGGGGAAUCUCGGUUGAUUUCUUUUCCUCGGGGUACUUAGAUGUUUCAGUUCCCCCGGUUCGCCUCAUUAACCUAUGGAUUCAGUUAAUGAUAGUGUGACGAAUCACACUGGGUUUCCCCAUUCGGAAAUCGCCGGUUAUAACGGUUCAUAUCACCUUACCGACGCUUAUCGCAGAUUAGCACGUCCUUCAUCGCCUCUGACUGCCAGGGCAUCCACCGUGUACGCUUAGUCGCUUAA
RNAcentral lists this ribosomal RNA (2902 nucleotides) under Escherichia coli 2534-86. Its description in RNAcentral is "23S ribosomal RNA". Lineage: Bacteria; Pseudomonadati; Pseudomonadota; Gammaproteobacteria; Enterobacterales; Enterobacteriaceae. The record is from RNAcentral.